Molecule: ribosomal RNA, 388 nt
Filed under: uncultured bacterium
Lineage: Bacteria
Description: partial 16S ribosomal RNA
Rfam family: Bacterial small subunit ribosomal RNA
Source: RNAcentral
AUACGUAGGUGGCAAGCGUUAUCCGGAAUUAUUGGGCGUAAAGAGUGAGCAGGCGGUUAAUUAAGUCUGAGGUUAAAGCGUGGGGCUCAACCCCAUAAAGCCUUGGAAACUGAUUGACUAGAGUACGGGAGAAGUGAAGGGAACUCCAUGUGUAGCGGGGAAAUGCGUAGAUAUAUGGAAGAACACCAGUGGCGAAGGCGCUUCACUAGCCCGAAACUGACGCUCAGUCACGAAAGCGUGGGUAGAAAAUAGGAUUAGAUUCCCUAGUAGUCCACGCUGUAAACGAUGACAACUAAAUAUUGCCGCGAGGCAGUGUUGAAGCUAACGCAUUAAGUUGUCAGCCUUGGGAGUACGGUCGCAAGACUGAAACUCAAAUGAAUUGACGGGG